CCCCCACUCAGGCUCCACGCGCAGGCGCCAGGCAGUGGAGCAGAGCAGAGCGGCGGCCGCGCUCUCGGCCUGGGUCCCGGGGGAGCGGAUUCUCCUCAGCAUGGCCCUUGGUGCUGCAGGUGUGGCGGGCGCUGGGCCCGGGCACCGAGGGGGGCACUGGAUGACUCCCCAGUUGCAGAAUCCUGCCAUCUAUGACUCCAGGCCUUCAGCACCCACCCACCGUGGUACAGACUGUGCUUGCGACUGGGGAUCUUGAGUCUCUGUUUGGAGGUCAUUGUGUGGAGAAGAGGUUUGGGGGUGCAAGGUAGGAAGCAGGCCACUUGGCACCUGUGGUUUGGAUCACAGAAGUAGUGGAGGGAAGUGGUCAGAGUUAGGAUCCAGAGCCAAUCAGUGGGAAUCGCCUUCUGAUGGACUGUGGGUGUGGAGGAGAAAAACAGGAUUCAGACAAUUCCCAGGCUCAGGGCCUGAACAGCUGGACAGUAGAGCACUUGCCUAGCAGGUGGGAGACCCUGGGUUCCAUCCUCAGCACCACACACCCACACACAAAGAUGUAGCCAGGGACCAGGGAUUUAGCUCAGUUGUUCCGCCGCCUGCCUCAAAAGCACAAGGUCCGGAGUUUGAUCCCUGGUACACACACACACAAAAAAUCAGUAUUAACCUGAAUUUACCUCUGGCCAGGGAUUUACCUCAGUGGUUUCAGGUUUCACACUUCUGCUUUGCAAGCACAAGGUCCCGAGUUCGAUCCCCAGUACCAAAAAACCCCAAAAACAACAACAAAAAAACGUAGCCAGGCAUGAUGGCACAUGCCUGUAGCCCUAGCUUUCUGGAGGCUGAAGCAGGAGGAUGCCAGGUUCAAGCCCAGCCUGGGCAAUGUGGCAACUUAGCAAGGGCUGUCUCAAAAUUUAAAAAGGGCUGAGGGAUGUACCUCAGAGCAAAAGCCCUGGGUUCAAUCCAUAGCACCCCCAAAAAAAAGUGCAGAGAGGGGAGAACAGAGAGUGAUUGUACUGAGGGUGCACAUCAGUUGACGAGGCCAGAGUAUCCACAGAAUUUGGAGGUCAGAGAGCUGGAUGAGGACAUGGGAACAAAUGGAGGAGGUGGUCAGACACUGAGGCACAUGGGACAGAAACAGGGGGCUGCAGUUGCUAUGGUCAUCUGAGGUGACCCUGGGCACUUGGCCAGGCAGAGUGGAGGAUCACAGGAGGUCCAUGGCUGAGGAACCAGGAGGACCAUGCAUGCGUGGCUCUGCGACCGGCGAGAAAUAAGGUGGCUUGUGCUCAGGAGUGUGGCAUGAGCUGGCAGUAGACAUGAAAAGCUAGGGUGACAUGAAAAACUACAGGCAAGGCA
This 1344-nucleotide long non-coding RNA is filed under the name Heterocephalus glaber (naked mole-rat). Its description in RNAcentral is "lncRNA (ENSHGLG00000045849.1)". The record is from RNAcentral. Lineage: Eukaryota; Metazoa; Chordata; Mammalia; Rodentia; Bathyergidae.